UGGGGAAUAUUGGACAAUGGGCGCAAGCCUGAUCCAGCCAUACCGCGUGGGUGAAGAAGGCCUUCGGGUUGUAAAGCCCUUUUGUUGGGAAAGAAAAGCAGCUGGCUAAUACCCGGUUGUUCUGACGGUACCCAAAGAAUAAGCACCGGCUAACUUCGUGCCAGCAGCCGCGGUAAUACGAAGGGUGCAAGCGUUACUCGGAAUUACUGGGCGUAAAGCGUGCGUAGGUGGUUGUUUAAGUCUGUUGUGAAAGCCCUGGGCUCAACCUGGGAAUUGCAGUGGAUACUGGACGACUAGAGUGUGGUAGAGGGUAGUGGAAUUCCCGGUGUAGCAGUGAAAUGCGUAGAGAUCGGGAGGAACAUCCAUGGCGAAGGCAGCUACCUGGACCAACACUGACACUGAGGCACGAAAGCGUGGGGAGCAAACAGGAUUAGAUACCCUGGUAGUCCACGCCCUAAACGAUGCGAACUGGAUGUUGGGUGCAAUUUGGCACGCAGUAUCGAAGCUAACGCGUUAAGUUCGCCGCCUGGGGA
This 533-nucleotide ribosomal RNA is filed under the name soil bacterium PM2-P2-11. RNAcentral's name for it is "bacterial SSU rRNA". It matches the Rfam family "Bacterial small subunit ribosomal RNA", at positions 355 to 879 of the family's 1533-position model. The record is from RNAcentral.